Molecule: long non-coding RNA, 929 nt
Organism: Oncorhynchus keta (chum salmon)
Lineage: Eukaryota; Metazoa; Chordata; Actinopteri; Salmoniformes; Salmonidae
Exons: 2
Source: RefSeq, a predicted model, not a curated record
CCCAUGUAGACCUACCUGGUUCCGAAGGUUAUCGAUCAUCCCCAAGUGGCAAGUCAUGUCUUUACGGUCACCAAGGGAUCUUCUCUCCCAAUGUUCCUUGAUCUGUAGCUCAAGCUGCGUGUUGGUUCCCUCUAGUGAGUGCACCUGAGCCACACAACAUCGAGCCUCACACAUUCAUACAACACACAUCCUAGGUAGACUUCUCACUGUUUUAGCCACUAAGAGAGGAAUCACAACUGAGUACUUGAAAGCACUGGGUGGCCGUUCUAUCGCAUCUGACCAGAAUAUCAUUUGAUUUUUACAUCUAAUGAUAGGAGAAAGUGAAUGGUAGUUCUUUAGGCUAACAGUGAAAAAAGAAAACCCUACAAUUGUGAUGCGAAAAGGUAUCUAAUUUAGAUUCUCCGUGUAGGACGCAAAGCGACCAUUAAGAUCUUCCAGGUUCUCCCUCUUGCUGAUGCACAGGGAGCUUGAGAAUUUUGUCAUGCUCCCCGAGACACUUGAUGCAUACCCCAUUAAGGUCUAAUACCCUCCUGCACCACCACAAACACUGUUCCAGUGUCCCCCUCUGCAGUCGUGGGAGAGCUGCUUAGCGCCACUGGCACGGAACAACUGCAUUGAUGCUGUCAACGUCCCUCCAACCUGGGGUCUGAUGUGAUGCUAUAAAGGGCUUUUUUGAACUGUGCAAAAAUGUUACAUGUUUUUGUCUAUUGAAAGCAAGGGUGGGUGUGAAGAAACCCUGCCCACCACAGAUCUACAAAAACAGUUGUGGGUAUGUCUAUGAUGGAAUUAUGUUUUCUUCUCUUUCAAAUGUAAAUUGGAUGGUUCUGAAGGCAGGAUCACAGUGGAAAAAGGUCUGUAUGGAGACAGAAUACCUUGUAAAACGUUUUUUUUUUUCUUGAAGUGGACCAAUAAAUACAUUUUUAAGUUGC